RNAcentral lists this ribosomal RNA (449 nucleotides) under uncultured bacterium. RNAcentral describes it as "bacterial SSU rRNA". It matches the Rfam family "Bacterial small subunit ribosomal RNA", at positions 29 to 524 of the family's 1533-position model. The record is from RNAcentral.
AACGAACGCUGGCGGCAUGCCUAACACAUGCAAGUCGAACGAAGUCUUCGGACUUAGUGGCGCACGGGUGCGUAACGCGUGGGAAUCUGCCCUUGGGUGCGGAAUAACUUCUCGAAAGGGAUGCUAAUACCGCAUAAUGUCGUAAGACCAAAGAUUUAUCGCCCAAGGAUGAGUCCGCGUAAGAUUAGCUAGUUGGUGGGGUAAAAGCCUACCAAGGCGACGAUCUUUAGCUGGUCUGAGAGGAUGAUCAGCCACACUGGGACUGAGACACGGCCCAGACUCCUACGGGAGGCAGCAGUGGGGAAUAUUGGACAGUGGCGAAAGCCUGAUCCAGCAAUGCCGCGUGAGUGAUGAAGGCCCUAGGGUUGUAAAGCUCUUUUACCAGGGAUGAUAAUGACAGUACCUGGAGAAUAAGCUCCGGCUAACUCCGUGCCAGCAGCCGCGGUAAU